UACGUAGGUGGCAAGCGUUGUCCGGAAUUAUUGGGCGUAAAGCGCGCGCAGGCGGUCCUUUAAGUCUGAUGUGAAAGCCCACGGCUCAACCGUGGAGGGUCAUUGGAAACUGGGGGGACUUGAGUGCAGAAGAGGAGAGCGGAAUUCCACGUGUAGCGGUGAAAAUGCGUAGAGAUGUGGAGGAACACCAGUGGCGAAGGCGGCUCUCUGGUCUGUAACUGACGCUGAGGCGCGAAAAGCGUGGGGAGCAAAACAGGAUUAGAUACCCCCCGUAGUCC
Molecule: ribosomal RNA, 278 nt
Filed under: uncultured bacterium
Lineage: Bacteria
Description: partial 16S ribosomal RNA
Rfam family: Bacterial small subunit ribosomal RNA
Source: RNAcentral